RNAcentral lists this ribosomal RNA (253 nucleotides) under uncultured bacterium. Its description in RNAcentral is "partial 16S ribosomal RNA". It matches the Rfam family "Bacterial small subunit ribosomal RNA", at positions 524 to 776 of the family's 1533-position model. The record is from RNAcentral.
UACGUAGGGUGCAGGCGUUAAUCGGAAUUACUGGGCGUAAAGCGUGCGCAGGCGGUUUGCUAAGACAGGUGUGAAAUCCCCGGGCUUAACCUGGGAACUGCGCUUGUAACUGGCAAGCUGGAGUGUGGCAGAGGGGGGUGGAAUUCCACGUGUAGCAGUGAAAUGCGUAGAGAUGUGGAGGAACACCGAUGGCGAAGGCAGCCCCCUGGGCUAACACUGACGCUCAUGCACGAAAGCUGGGGGAGCAAACAGG